Molecule: long non-coding RNA, 4526 nt
Filed under: Brassica napus (rape)
Lineage: Eukaryota; Viridiplantae; Streptophyta; Magnoliopsida; Brassicales; Brassicaceae
Description: long non-coding RNA (BNAP_LNC000145)
Source: RNAcentral
AAAGACUCCGUCGUGUGUAUGGGACGGGGUUGCUAUUACUUGACCUUUGUGUGGUGGGGAUGCUUGUCGGUUCUUGGACUCGCUUCUAGUCUUGUGUUGUUUAUUAGGACUAGAAGAGCUUAUCAACGGUUUGAACAAGCUCGGAUAAGUUCAAAUAUUGAUUCAUAGAAAUUUUACCUUCAUUCCCCGACGGCUUGUGUAUAUCACAGUAUAUGUAGGGAUCUAUAUUUAACAGACGUAUUAAUGGACUGUUAUGGAUUUUGGCUGAUAAUAUUUUGUUGUCGCUGAUUUAUUUUAGUCUCAAAUUCUGAUAAUUGUUAAAUUAUCCUAUCCUUUCUACAAUAAUAUUAUUUUUUUUGGGUGAGAAUUUACGUUUGACAGCGCUACUUGCAACUAAAUCAUUUUAUGCUCUUUCUUUUAUGGUGGUGGAAACCUUCCUGACUGAUAAAUUAAUGAUACCGUUUUUAAAAAUACAGUUUUUAAUUAAGAUAUAAAAAUUUAAAAAAUUAUUUUGCUCGAGAAAGCAAUGUAUUUGGAUGUGCAAUCUCUUGUAACCGUUAUUUCUGAAGUGAUUUUUUAGUACCCCAUCAGUUAUGAAAUGAUUACAUUACUGAAGACUCACCUUUUCAUUACAGACAUAUAUAUAUAUAUUAAAAUGUUGAUAAAUCAAAGAUACUCGAGUAAUUAAAACUAUACUUUACUAAUUUAAGGGAAGAUACAAAACCUCUGAUCCUUAAUACAAAGAAAAAGCCUCUCAUAAGCUAAAGCCAUCUUACUCGCCGUAAACAUCUCCGCCGCAUACUCUUUACACUUCCUCCCUCUCUCCGCCAAUCUCUCCGCUCCUUCCGCCACCGCAACUUCCAUAACCGCCGUCAAAGCCUCCACAUUCGGCGCAAACAUAAACCCAAACUCAUCAUUCACCACAAUACUCCUCUUUAUGCUCGCAUACCUCGACGCCAUCACCGGUUUACCACUCAACAUCGCUUCCAUCAAAGUCAAAUCAAGACCUUGUGGUCUAAGCGUUGGAUUCACAAACAAAUCGAUCCCGUUGUAGAAACCCUUGAGCUCAUUUGGGUUCAGAGAUCCCAAAAUAGUAACUUUCUCGCCAAGUUCCUUGUAACGGUUCUCCCAUGGUCCUGACCCAGCUACCACAAGGUGAACAUUUGAAUGUGUUUCGAUUAGUUUUGCGAAGGCUUCGUAGAGAAUCGGAUGUCCCUUGUCUUUCACCAAUCUCCCUGCAGCUCCUAAGACAAUAGCCGAUGAGUUUUCUUGUAACCCUAGUUUUGACCUAAACAGAGAACGUAGCUUCUUGUCUGAUUUGAACCCAUUUUCGUCGACUCCGUUGAGGAUCACAUGAACCCUUUUCUCCGGGAUUUGGUAAACGUCUCUCAGCAUUUCCCCGCAGCUGUCGCUGAUUGCUAUGUGAUGAGCGUAGUUGUGGAAGAAUCUGAUUUCUUGAGAAAUUGAAAUAUAAUAUAGCCACUUCAUAGUUAAAUGUACAAGUGUUUUUAUAAUAUAUACUGUUAAUUUCUGUGAAAUUUAAGUAUAUGAUUUAUUUUGUAAAACUAUUAAAUAUGAUAUGAUAAAAGUUAUAAAACUGCGAUAUUUUCAUGUGGAAAUAGUUUUAUUGCAUAUCAUGCAAAUUAUAUUUGAAGUUAUAAGACAUAGUUCUUUCUAAUCAGAAGUACUUUUAUAUUUCACUUAAUUUAGCUAAAAACAUAGAAAGAAUGUUUUUUUAGUUUAUAAAAUCAAAUAGACAUGAACAUUGGCUAUCAAUUUAGGUACAUAUUUUUUUAGGGUAUUGUUUUUUUUUUUUUUGAAAUAAAGUUCCGCUUGAAUAUUAUAAAUUUAUGUGUCAUUUUGAGUUGAGUCAUUCUGAGUCUGGAUGAGUUCGGUUAUGAUUUAUAUGAAUCUAAAAAAUAUCUAAAUAACAAAUAUAUAUAUAAAAUAUGUUCGGAUAUUUGUACCAAAAAUAAUCAUAUUAUCCGAUUCGGUCCAAGUCGUUUAAAUACAAUUAGUUAUAUUACGACACAUCUAAAAUAUAUAACACUAAUAAUGAAAUAAAAUAUCAAUGUAAAAAAUGUAAAAACCAAUCUUAGUGUGGGUGCGCGGAUAAUCUCUAGUUAUAUUUGAAGUAUAAGACAUAGUUCUUUUUAAUCAGAAAUAGUUUUAUGUGGAAAGUUUAAUGAAUUUUCUAUUUCUUUGAAAUGACUUUCAUGUUAGUUGUUAUAGCUUAGAGUUUUUGACCCAAAAAAAAGAGUUAUUCAUAUGUUCAUACAUAUAAUUUUGUCACGAUUCACAAAUGAGACUAAACCAAAACUUUUCGAGUCACAAACUGGGUGACGAUUGAUUGGUAGAUAGGUAGUUCACAGUUGUUUUUUUGUUUGUCGAUUUUUCUUAUCUUUUUUUUUCUUCGUAAAUGCAUUAACUUUUAGGAACUUCCAUAAAACUUGUUGGUCCAACAAGUCUUCUUCUUGGCAUGUUCGGGCUUGUCUCGUGGUUGAUGGCUAUUUCGAAAAUCUGCAACUAUUUCAUAAUUUAAAAUAUGACGUCAAAAAUGAAUAUUUAUUAUCCUUUAUAUAAAAUUCUUAUUGUCUAAAUCAUAUAUAGAUAUGCAAAAAAUGGCCACCGGAUUUUUUUAUUAAACGUCUUUUUCUGAUGAGUAAGCUGUUUGUGGUUGAGAAAAAUCAAUGAAAUAGAUAUACAAAUAUUAAAUGUGACGCUUUUAGUAGUUAAAUGUUGUCUUUCUCAAACAGUCAAACUCAAUCAUUAUUGGGGUAAAAUAAUCAAAAACAAAAUUUGUAAAAUAAUAAAUCAAAUUUAGUAGUUAGAUUUUUUUAAUUUCUUGUCUCUGAAGAAACUUUGAUUGAUAUUGGCUCGUUACUAUACAGGUGUUUCUCUGUUGCUUACUUGCUGGUCUAAGUAUCUGUUGGUUCAACACAGUCUGCUUUGUGCUCUGCAUCAGCAACUUCCCUGCAAACAGAGCGCUUGCUCUGUCCAUCACAGUAAGCUUCAACGGUGUAAGCGCUGCCUUAUACACACUUGCUUACAACGCAAUCAACCCAACCUCUCCAGAGCUCUACCUUCUCUUAAACGCUCUCAUACCACUCGUUGUCUCCUUCACUGCAAUCAUCCCGAUACUUCGUCAACCGCCUUUCGAGCCUCUUCCACCAGAUGGAGUUCGCCGCGACUCUCUCAUGUUUCUACUGCUCAACAUUCUCGCCGCUCUAAACGGUGUUUACCUCCUCCUCUUUGAGUCAAACUCCUCUGAUAUAACCUCUGCUCGUCUCCUCUUUGGUGGUGCAAUCAUCCUCUUGGUCCUCCCUUUAUGUAUCCCCGGUUUAGUCAUCGCCCGUAACUGGUAUCAUCGCACGAUCCACACAAGUUUCCGCCUUGAAGGUUCCGGUUUCAUUCUCGUUCAUCCUGAUGAGCUUGAGCUGCAUAAAGGAAUGGUUGCACAUGAAGCCAAUAGAGAAGGCUACCAGUUGCUAAACGACGACAUUGUGCAAAACCUUGUUGUUAAGACUACAGCUCCAGAGGAAGGUGACACUGAUGAGUCCUGUUGCAAGAAGCUUAUUACAAGAGGCCAGCUUGAGAUAUUGGGAACUGAACAUUCUUUGUCGCAGCUCUUACGUAGAGCUGACUUCUGGUUCUACUAUAUUGCGUACUUCUGCGGUGGAACCAUCGGACUUGUGUACAGCAACAACCUCGGACAGAUUGCUCAGUCUUUAGGACAAAGCUCAAAGACUACAACUCUUGUCACACUUUAUUCUUCCUUCUCAUUCUUUGGAAGAUUACUCUCGGCAACACCGGACUAUAUCCGAGCGUAAGUGCAUUUGAUCCAUAUUAAUUUAUCGUAUUUAUUAAUUUAUCAAAUAUUAAUUUAUAGAGUUUAUAGUUUGGUUUUGCGGGUUUUGAUUUGGAUUAAGUUGUGCAGGAAGGUUUAUUUUGCAAGAACCGGGUGGUUAGCAAUCGCGCUUUUGCCAACACCAAUCGCGCUUUUCUUGCUCGCAUCAUCAGGAACCGCGUCAGCGUUACAAGCGGGAACAGCUCUGAUUGGUCUAAGCUCAGGAUUCAUAUUCGCAGCAGCUGUUUCGAUCACAUCAGAGCUCUUUGGACCAAACAGUGUUGGAGUUAACCACAACAUCUUGAUCACAAACAUACCGAUAGGAUCGUUGAUCUAUGGAUUCUUGGCUGCAUUGGUCUAUGACUCGCAUGGUUCGACUGCGAUCAAAUCAAUGAAAGACUCCGUCGUGUGUAUGGGACGGGGUUGCUAUUACUUGACCUUUGUGUGGUGGGGAUGCUUGUCGGUUCUUGGACUCGCUUCUAGUCUUGUGUUGUUUAUUAGGACUAGAAGAGCUUAUCAACGGUUUGAACAAGCUCGGAUAAGUUCAAAUAUUGAUUCAUAGAAAUUUUACCUUCAUUCCCCGACGGCUUGUGUAUAUCACAGUAUAUGUAGGGAUCUAUAUUUAACAGACGUAUUAAUGGACUGUUAUGGAUUUUGGCUGAUAAUAUUUUGUUGUCGC